UCAAUAAGUUACGCGAGUGCGCAGCAUGUAUAUUAUGGUAAAUAGAAAUAUUUAGCACUACUUGAUGACUUGAUGACCGUUCAUCAAUAAAAAAGGCAAUACAUGACAAAAAAAACAGCCAUAAAAGCCGUCGGCCUUUGGUUUGAGCUCGAUAAGGAGACCAAUCACCUACUCACUCUUCAAGCAGAAAAAAACGGCAGAAGUAAGCGAGCUGAAGCUCUUGAAAUCGUCAAGAGCAAUGUUCACAAAAAGAAUAUUAACAGAAUUUAGUGUUCUUUUUUGAAUAAAGAUCCAACUUUUGGAUCUUUUGCUCUUU
RNAcentral lists this unclassified non-coding RNA (316 nucleotides) under Aliivibrio wodanis. Its description in RNAcentral is "putative sRNA". The record is from RNAcentral. Lineage: Bacteria; Pseudomonadati; Pseudomonadota; Gammaproteobacteria; Vibrionales; Vibrionaceae.